RNAcentral lists this ribosomal RNA (465 nucleotides) under Limosilactobacillus fermentum. RNAcentral describes it as "bacterial SSU rRNA". It matches the Rfam family "Bacterial small subunit ribosomal RNA", at positions 338 to 795 of the family's 1533-position model. Lineage: Bacteria; Bacillati; Bacillota; Bacilli; Lactobacillales; Lactobacillaceae. The record is from RNAcentral.
CCUACGGGGGGCAGCAGUAGGGAAUCUUCCACAAUGGGCGCAAGCCUGAUGGAGCAACACCGCGUGAGUGAAGAAGGGUUUCGGCUCGUAAAGCUCUGUUGUUAAAGAAGAACACGUAUGAGAGUAACUGUUCAUACGUUGACGGUAUUUAACCAGAAAGUCACGGCUAACUACGUGCCAGCAGCCGCGGUAAUACGUAGGUGGCAAGCGUUAUCCGGAUUUAUUGGGCGUAAAGAGAGUGCAGGCGGUUUUCUAAGUCUGAUGUGAAAGCCUUCGGCUUAACCGGAGAAGUGCAUCGGAAACUGGAUAACUUGAGUGCAGAAGAGGGUAGUGGAACUCCAUGUGUAGCGGUGGAAUGCGUAGAUAUAUGGAAGAACACCAGUGGCGAAGGCGGCUACCUGGUCUGCAACUGACGCUGAGACUCGAAAGCAUGGGUAGCGAACAGGAUUAGAUACCUGGGGGGUA